This 279-nucleotide ribosomal RNA is filed under the name uncultured bacterium. Its description in RNAcentral is "partial 16S ribosomal RNA". It matches the Rfam family "Bacterial small subunit ribosomal RNA", at positions 506 to 784 of the family's 1533-position model. The record is from RNAcentral.
UGCCAGCCGCCGCGGUAAUACGUAGGGAGCGAGCGUUAUCCGGAAUUAUUGGGCGUAAAGCGCGCGUAGGCGGCUGAGUAAGUCGGAUGUGAAAGCCCUGGGCUUAACCUGGGAAUGGCAUUCGAUACUGCUUAGCUAGAGUAUGGUAGAGGGAAGUGGAAUUUCCGGUGUAGCGGUGAAAUGCGUAGAUAUCGGAAGGAACACCAGUGGCGAAGGCGACUUCCUGGGCCAAUACUGACGCUGAGGUGCGAAAGCGUGGGGAGCAAACAGGAUUAGAUA